AUUGAACGCUGGCGGCAGGCCUAACACAUGCCAGUCGAGCGGAUGAAGGGAGCUUGCUCCUGGAUUCAGCGGCGGACGGGUGAGUAAUGCCUAGGAAUCUGCCUGGUAGUGGGGGAUAACGUCCGGAAACGGGCGCUAAUACCGCAUACGUCCUGAGGGAGAAAGUGGGGGAUCUUCGGACCUCACGCUAUCAGAUGAGCCUAGGUCGGAUUAGCUAGUUGGUGGGGUAAAGGCCUACCAAGGCGACGAUCCGUAACUGGUCUGAGAGGAUGAUCAGUCACACUGGAACUGAGACACGGUCCAGACUCCUACGGGAGGCAGCAGUGGGGAAUAUUGGACAAUGGGCGAAAGCCUGAUCCAGCCAGGCCGCGUGUGUGAAGAAGGUCUUCGGAUGGUAAAGCACUUUAAGUUGGGAGGAAGGGCAGUAAGUUAAUACCUUGCUGUUUGGACGUUACCAACAGAAUAAGCACCGGCGAACUGCGG
This 483-nucleotide ribosomal RNA is filed under the name uncultured bacterium. Its description in RNAcentral is "partial 16S ribosomal RNA". It matches the Rfam family "Bacterial small subunit ribosomal RNA", at positions 30 to 506 of the family's 1533-position model. The record is from RNAcentral.